UGAAGCGGCAAAAGCUCAAAUUUGAAAUCUGGUACCUUUGGUGCCCGAGUUGUAAUUUGGAGAGUACCACUUUGGGACUGUACUUUGCCUAUGUUCCUUGGAACAGGACGUCAUGGAGGGUGAGAAUCCCGUGUGGCGAGGGUGUCAGUUCUUUGUAAAGGGUGCUCGAAGAGUCGAGUUGUUUGGGAAUGCAGCUCUAAGUGGGUGGUAAAUUCCAUCUAAAGCUAAAUACAGGCGAGAGACCGAUAGCGAACAAGUACAGUGAUGGAAAGAUGAAAAGAACUUUGAAAAGAGAGUGAAAAAGUACGUGAAAUUGUUGAAAGGGAAGGGCAUUUGAUCAGACAUGGUGUUUUGCGCCCCUUGCCUCUCGUGGGCUUGGGACUCUCGCAGCUCACUGGGCCAGCAUCGGUUUUGGCGGCCGGAAAAAACCUAGGGAAUGUGGCUCUGCGCCUCGGUGUAGAGUGUUAUAGCCCUGGGGAAUACGGCCAGCCGGGACCGAGGACUGCGAUACUUGUUAUCUAGGAUGCUGGCAUAAUGGUUAUAUGCCGCCCGUC
This 554-nucleotide ribosomal RNA is filed under the name Nakaseomyces glabratus. Its description in RNAcentral is "[Candida] glabrata partial large subunit ribosomal RNA". It matches the Rfam family "Eukaryotic large subunit ribosomal RNA", at positions 94 to 653 of the family's 3401-position model. Lineage: Eukaryota; Fungi; Ascomycota; Saccharomycetes; Saccharomycetales; Saccharomycetaceae. The record is from RNAcentral.